Molecule: long non-coding RNA, 620 nt
Filed under: Vigna radiata
Lineage: Eukaryota; Viridiplantae; Streptophyta; Magnoliopsida; Fabales; Fabaceae
Description: long non-coding RNA (VRAD_LNC009330)
Source: RNAcentral
GGGAGUAUUUAUUCUAAAAGAAGGUUGAUGAUCGGAGGGAAGGAAGUGGUCAGAAUCUUAGAGAGAAGGUGGAGGGUUUUAGAGAGAAGGAGGAGAAAAUGGAGUUAUGAAGUUUUGGAGAAGAAGAUUGUAUGCAGGGAAAAUGAUGCCAAAUUUAAAUUUCUAACUUUUAUACCACCUCCAAAACCGAACGGUCGAGUCCCAUGCUGCCACAUGUUUUCCACUUUCUAAAUUGCUGCACUCCAUGAGCUGCCACUUGGAUUCCACUUCCUGUACAUCUCAUCUCCUUCUGCUGCCGCACGGUUUCCAACGGAUGGGGAAUUAAAGAAUGGUUGACAGCUUUGUCUCCCAUUACCAUGGGAAAACUGGGAGGGUAUGACAUGUGUCUCCCACUAAGGUGGAGAAUUUAUGGGAUGUGACAAUCAUUAGUUUUCUAAUUAUUCUUUAUUUCUUUUUCUGAAUUAUUUUUUUUUUCAAUUAUUUGAUUUUUUCUAUAAAUUCAUAAAGUUCAUUUUUAUCUUUCAUUAAAUUUUCUUCUCAUCAUAACAUUGAUUAAAUUUUUUUUUCUUUUAUCUAGUUUCAUUUAAAUCACAUAUAUGGUAUUUAAAAAUACAAAAAGC